GGAAGUAAAAGUCGUGACAAGGUAUCCGUAGGUGAACCUGCGGAAGGAUCAUUAUAGAAUUGUUCGAAUUCCAUACGGGCAUUUUCUAAAAAUCCGUAUCCACACCGGUAGGGUUUUCAUUUUCCUUCUGGGAAAAAGGGGGCCCUUGCCGUAGGGUUCUGUUCUCUUUCUUUUAAGGGGAUGGUUCCUGUCUGACCCAUGCCUAUAAUUUUAUUUUGUCUGAACUUUUUAUAAAUAUAUAAAAACUAAAACAACUUUCAACAACGGAUCUCUUGGCUCUC
RNAcentral lists this unclassified non-coding RNA (281 nucleotides) under plant metagenome. Its description in RNAcentral is "partial contains small subunit ribosomal RNA, internal transcribed spacer 1, and 5.8S ribosomal RNA". The stretch from base 1 to 54 matches the Rfam family "Eukaryotic small subunit ribosomal RNA", at positions 1778 to 1831 of the family's 1831-position model. The record is from RNAcentral.